Molecule: ribosomal RNA, 250 nt
Filed under: uncultured bacterium
Lineage: Bacteria
Description: partial 16S ribosomal RNA
Rfam family: Bacterial small subunit ribosomal RNA
Source: RNAcentral
UGCGUAGGGUGCGAGCGUUAAUCGGAAUUACUGGGCGUAAAGCGUGCGCAGGCGGUUUUGUAAGCCAGAUGUGAAAUCCCCGAGCUUAACUUGGGAACUGCAUUUGGGACUGCAAGGCUAGAGUACGGCAGAGGGGGGUAGAGUUCCUGGUGUAGCAGUGAAAUGCGUAGAUAUCAGGAGGAAUACCGAUGGCGAAGGCAGCCCCCUGGGUCGAUACUGACGCUCAUGCACGAAAGCGUGGGGAGCAAAC